CGCGUUCACACUCGCGCUCCUCCCCAGCCGGCUGCCCCAGGACCGCGGGCCCGAGCAGCGGCCCACACCCAGGAGCGAGGAGGCGGUUAAAGGCGGCAGGGAGGCUGACAUCUUUUAUCUCGGGGUCUAUGGGUAACCGCUCCGCAGUGUUCCCUCGGGAGAUCUUACCGAGCCCGCCGGGGGCCGUCCGCCCAGGCACUGGGGCACUUCACACUCGUGACUCAAGGUCACCACGGCAGUCGGUCCCUGACUCCCAGCCCGGCAGGAGUUCAGAGGCCAGCCUUCUGGGUUCCUCGUGAAGGCUUCUCCACCAGAGGUCUGUGAGCCUCUCCUCCGUUCUCAGCACACCUGAGAAGACACCAGCACAUGGUCUUUCUCCCACUCUGAAGUUUGCUGACAUUCCUUGAUCUUCCUGUGCUGCCUCUGCCAUCAGAUGAGAAGUCACAUGUUUCUGAGCCUUGGCCAGGUGCAUGGAUUGGCCAUUGUGUUUAUUUUUCAUCAACUUUUUCCACGGCAGCAGAUGUGCAACUGUUACUUCAAGCCUCUUACAGGUACCAGGAGCCAUGGGCAUCACAGAUGAAGCCAACACAGAGGGACAAGACUGGAAAGAAAGUGCAGUGAGCCUGAGAGGUGAGUCCCUGGAUCCAACGUGGCUCCAUGGUACUUUUCAUGUCCAUCCUUCCUUAUGCCAGCUCAAAUUAGUUUCUUCCACC
RNAcentral lists this long non-coding RNA (713 nucleotides) under Heterocephalus glaber (naked mole-rat). RNAcentral's name for it is "lncRNA (ENSHGLG00000050177.1)". The record is from RNAcentral. Lineage: Eukaryota; Metazoa; Chordata; Mammalia; Rodentia; Bathyergidae.